AUGCGGGUGCUUCACCAGGCUGUGAUUUCUUUCCGGAACAAGAGUGGGGCUCAGAUCAUCAUUUGGUUUUCUUACUGGCUUAGUACAAAAAGGUAUGGCAUAUUUGAUACUACUGCGCAGCUGCCACAGGCGGUUUACGGAGAUCUUGCAAUAAUUGUGGUUAAUUGCCAUGUAUGGUAUGUACAUGGAACAGGGAUACAAUGUCGCAAACACACACACAACAAAUCUGGCGCGCCUUUGAUGAAGAUUAAGGGAUCCACACCGUUAGUGAGUUUGAGGCACCAGAGAACUGAUGUAAUGCAAUUCUGUGAUGUUGGUGUGUUGUUAUCACUGGUUAGGCUGCUUUCAUGUAUUAUUAUCAGUUUGUCGCUACUAUCAGUCUUCAAAGUUGCAUGUAAAUUUACGAUGGAAGAUGGACCUCUGUAA
This 426-nucleotide ribosomal RNA is filed under the name Triticum aestivum (bread wheat). RNAcentral describes it as "partial small subunit ribosomal RNA". The record is from RNAcentral. Lineage: Eukaryota; Viridiplantae; Streptophyta; Magnoliopsida; Poales; Poaceae.